Molecule: ribosomal RNA, 387 nt
Filed under: Rhizobiaceae bacterium
Lineage: Bacteria; Pseudomonadati; Pseudomonadota; Alphaproteobacteria; Hyphomicrobiales; Rhizobiaceae
Description: partial 23S ribosomal RNA
Rfam family: Bacterial large subunit ribosomal RNA
Source: RNAcentral
UCGAUGUCGACUCAUCGCAUCCUGGGGCUGGAGCAGGUCCCAAGGGUAUGGCUGUUCGCCAUUUAAAGCGGUACGUGAGUUGGGUUCAGAACGUCGUGAGACAGUUCGGUCCCUAUCUGCCGUGGGUGUAGGAAUAUUGACAGGAUCUGUCCCUAGUACGAGAGGACCGGGAUGGACGUAUCUCUGGUGGACCUGUUGUGGCGCCAGCCGCAUAGCAGGGUAGCUAUAUACGGAACGGAUAACCGCUGAAGGCAUCUAAGCGGGAAACCGACCUGGAAACGAGUAUUCCCUGAGAGUCGUGGUAGACGACCACGUUGAUAGGCCGGGUGUGGAAGUGCGGCAACGCAUGAAGCUUACCGGUACUAAUAACUCGAUUGGCUUGAUCGU